This is a long non-coding RNA of Drosophila simulans, 1395 nucleotides long. RefSeq lists it as uncharacterized. The transcript is spliced from 2 exons. Lineage: Eukaryota; Metazoa; Arthropoda; Insecta; Diptera; Drosophilidae. The record is from RefSeq and is a predicted model, not a curated record.
UUAAAUAUCGAGCUCAACGGGCUUUUACCAAAUGUUUUGGUCAAAAUAGUGAUUAUUUUGGGGAAAAAUGUAUACAAAUUAUUGCCGAGUUCCCAGAGGGCGUUACUUGGAAAAUUCUUGUCAAUCACUGCGGAGCUCUGGAAUAAACCCACUGGCGCAACAAAUUGGAAGGAGAGCGUUAUGUAAGCCCAAGUCAGUAGCAGGUUAUAUUCGUUCGAUUGGCACUCAAUCAGCCGCCUGAAAUAUAUCUGCCAGAUCUAAAAUCCCAACCGAACGACCCAAUGAAUAAAACGCAUUCCGUCACGUAAGACGCGAUUGGCACCUGCGUGGAGAGUCAAUGAAAUCGAUGGAAUCGACUUAAUAUUGGCCCGAAUCGAAUAGCCGGGCUAAGAGCGAACUAACGGUUAGCGGGCCAUUUCGCAGGUAAGUUAAUAAUGCCCAGAGCCCCGCGGGAAAUUGCAGAGAACGAAAAGCCAGCGCAUUCGUAAUUGAGCUUAUUAUUAUUUUUUUUGUUUGUGUGUGUGUGUUGCUUGUAUGAUUACGUUUUAGCAGCUUUCUUUUCGCUCGAAAUGACGCAUUUUGUGCCGGCCAGCAAAAUGGCAACAAUCGCGGGAAUCGCAAAAUCGCGCGUCAGAAAGAGAUGGCUGGCUGGCUAAAGCGGCGGCGUUUCGCGAUUGGAUUGGAAGAAACUGAACAGAAAAUACAAAAAAAAAUAACAAAAAACCCGCUGGCGCACACACAUUCGCACAAACAGCAACAUCCACAGCAACCAGCAACAUGCACACCAGCAACUAGCAACUAGCAACAUGCAGCAGAAGCAGCCGCAGCAGCAACACGCGGACAACGCCUUCCAACGUGACUGAUUGCCACUUGGCACGCAAGCCAAAGGAAGCCAGAGCCACGUUGCCAAAGUUACUGCAGUCAGUGGUUUGGCUAAAAAAAAGAAAAAGCCCCCCACCUCCCCGCCUUCAGCGCAGCCCCUGUGAAAGCCGCGCCAUUGUGGCCAAAAGCAAUGGCCGUCAAAAGCCGCUGUUGUUUACCAUUUUGUGCCCACACCCGAUCCUCAGCUCUCUUGGGCGAAAAAAACAAAAUAAAAGGAAAACUGGUUAGAUAGCAGGAGUACACCGCCCCACGCCCCCCUUUUUGAGGGGGGAAAACUCGUUGGAUGCUCCGCCAAGAUGAUUGACUUCUGCUGUUACACUUUAAGCAGCAGCCAUCGCUGCCGAUGGGUACUAUAUGCACGUGGAUCGGCCAAUUAUAUAGGUUGACUAUCUACGGAAAGUGUGCAAAAUGAAGCUUACUUUCAAGGUGUGAAAUUAAAACUUUUCAAAUAAUAUAUACAAAUAAAUGCUUAGGAGUUAGGUAGCAAACGCAAUUUGUGUGCACCUAUUAAUA